CAAGUCGAACGCGAAAGAGAUCUUCGGAUCUUGAGUAGAGUGGCGGACGGGUGAGUAACGCGUAGGAAUCUGCCUAGUAGUGGGGGAUAGCCCGGAGAAAUCCGGAUUAAUACCGCAUACGCCCUACGGGGGAAAGAUGGCCUCUUCUUGAAAGCUAUCACUAUUAGAUGAGCCUGCGUCGGAUUAGCUAGUUGGUGAGGUAAUGGCUCACCAAGGCGACGAUCCGUAGCUGGUCUGAGAGGACGAUCAGCCACACUGGGACUGAGACACGGCCCAGACUCCUACGGGAGGCAGCAGUGGGGAAUAUUGGACAAUGAGCGAAAGCUUGAUCCAGCAAUACCGCGUGUGUGAAGAAGGCCUGCGGGUUGUAAAGCACUUUCAGUGGGGAAGAAAAGCUUAAGGUUAAUACCCUUGGGUCUUGACGUUACCCACAGAAGAAGCGCCGGCUAACUCCGUGCCAGCAGCCGCGGUAAUACGGAGGGUGCAAGCGUUAAUCGGAAUUACUGGGCGUAAAGCGCGCGUAGGCGGUUUAGUCAGUCAGAUGUGAAAGCCCCGGGCUCAACCUGGGAACUGCAUUUGAUACUGCUGAACUAGAGUAUGGUAGAGGGAAAUGGAAUUCCGGGUGUAGCGGUGAAAUGCGUAGAUAUCCGGAGGAACACCAGUGGCGAAGGCGACUUCCUGGACCAAUACUGACGCUGAGGUGCGAAAGCGUGGGUAGCAAACAGGAUUAGAUACCCUGGUAGUCCACGCCGUAAACGAUGUCAACUAGCCGUUGGGCUCAUUUAAGGGCUUAGUGGCGCAGCUAACGCGAUAAGUUGACCGCCUGGGGAGUACGGUCGCAAGAUUAAAACUCAAAGGAAUUGAGCGGGGCCCGCACAAGCGGUGGAGCAUGUGGUUUAAUUCGAUGCAACGCGAAGAACCUUACCAGCCCUUGACAUCCUGGGAAGGCUUUAGAGAUAAAGCUGUGCCUUCGGGAACCCAGUGACAGGU
This 990-nucleotide ribosomal RNA is filed under the name endosymbiont of Ifremeria nautilei. RNAcentral describes it as "bacterial SSU rRNA". It matches the Rfam family "Bacterial small subunit ribosomal RNA", at positions 58 to 1039 of the family's 1533-position model. The record is from RNAcentral.